Molecule: ribosomal RNA, 465 nt
Filed under: uncultured Klebsiella sp.
Lineage: Bacteria; Pseudomonadati; Pseudomonadota; Gammaproteobacteria; Enterobacterales; Enterobacteriaceae
Description: bacterial SSU rRNA
Rfam family: Bacterial small subunit ribosomal RNA
Source: RNAcentral
CCUACGGGUGGCAGCAGUGGGGAAUAUUGCACAAUGGGCGCAAGCCUGAUGCAGCCAUGCCGCGUGUGUGAAGAAGGCCUUCGGGUUGUAAAGCACUUUCAGCGGGGAGGAAGGCGUUAAGGUUAAUAACCUUGGCGAUUGACGUUACCCGCAGAAGAAGCACCGGCUAACUCCGUGCCAGCAGCCGCGGUAAUACGGAGGGUGCAAGCGUUAAUCGGAAUUACUGGGCGUAAAGCGCACGCAGGCGGUCUGUCAGGUCGGAUGUGAAAUCCCCGGGCUCAACCUGGGAACUGCAUUCGAAACUGGCAGGCUAGAGUCUUGUAGAGGGGGGUAGAAUUCCAGGUGUAGCGGUGAAAUGCGUAGAGAUCUGGAGGAAUACCGGUGGCGAAGGCGGCCCCCUGGACAAAGACUGACGCUCAGGUGCGAAAGCGUGGGGAGCAAACAGGAUUAGAUACCCCAGUAGUC